AGCUGUAUUUAUGACUAAAGCAGAAUACUUCCAGCGACACACCCAACUCAGCCUUGUUGAACAAUAUUGAACUGCAGACAACUAUACAGACAUUAGAGCUUAAACAUUUUUUUUACCUUAGUAGACAAGCAAGUGCUGCCAGACUCUCCCAGGAAAGGCAAAUGGAACAGGUGGUGCUUCAGUAACAGAGAUGAACAGGUGUAUAACAUAAGUUCAUCAGCAAGAAAUGCAAAGUAAAAACGGGUUUUAAAACAAGCUUCUGUUUGUGCUCAGUGAAAUCAAAUUUUUAGCUUGGAAUAGGAAAGUUAUCAAAGUUCUUCUUCCCUUUUUUGAGUUCUGGACAAAGGAAGCCUAUGUGAGCACAUCCUGGAGCAUAAAACACUCGAAGAAAUGCUUCAUGUAACAGACGUCCCGGUGCUGGACACCAUGCAAUGGAAUCACCAUCAGGGCUUCGACUGUGGAGUGCUCUUGAAAAGACAGAUUAAGUAUUGGCACCAGGACUUCCAACUGAGCUCUGGAAAUACUGCUGUCCAGCUGGCUCUGACUCAUUUAGUCCUACAAAUAAAAGUGCUACAAAUCUAA
This 582-nucleotide long non-coding RNA is filed under the name Coturnix japonica (Japanese quail). Its description in RNAcentral is "lncRNA (ENSCJPG00005010833.1)". The record is from RNAcentral. Lineage: Eukaryota; Metazoa; Chordata; Aves; Galliformes; Phasianidae.